Molecule: non-coding RNA, 148 nt
Filed under: Homo sapiens (human)
Lineage: Eukaryota; Metazoa; Chordata; Mammalia; Primates; Hominidae
Source: Rfam by way of RNAcentral
GCCGGGUGUGGUGGCGCACACCUGUAAUCCCAGCUACUCGGGAGGCUGAGGCAGGAAAAUUGCUUGAACCUGGGAGGUGGAGGUUGCAGUGAGCCAAGAUUGCACCACUGCACUCCAGCCUGGGUGACAGAGUGAGACUCUGUCUCAA